GCGUCGGCAGUGCGACGGUUCAGCACGCUCUCCCGGAUAGGGUAAGAUCUGGGUUCGAAUCCCAGAUGACGCA
Parelaphostrongylus tenuis is the source of this 73-nucleotide non-coding RNA. The record is from the annotation of a GenBank genome assembly. Lineage: Eukaryota; Metazoa; Nematoda; Chromadorea; Rhabditida; Metastrongylidae.